Molecule: long non-coding RNA, 1360 nt
Filed under: Heterocephalus glaber (naked mole-rat)
Lineage: Eukaryota; Metazoa; Chordata; Mammalia; Rodentia; Bathyergidae
Description: lncRNA (ENSHGLG00100041023.1)
Source: RNAcentral
GUCUCCUCAAACAGGAAGUGGCAAUGCCCGAGUUACUAGUUUGUGGACAACGGAUUUUAUUAAACACUACUGGGGUUUAUACGGGUACUGAAAAACUGUGACUCUGUAGUACCCGACCAUCUGUUCCGCUGGACAGCGGCUGGUGGAGUCAGCAGCCGCCUCAGACACCUCUCCCGACUGCGGUCGUUCACUGUCUGUGGCGUAAACCCUGAGAUCAUCACCCUCCCUACUCCCAGGCCUUCCCCGUUUCAUUAUUUCUAUCAAAGGGAGUUGGGGCUGGGCCUGUGGGUGCACAGCACCUUGGACCUUCGGCUUCAUGGUGUCUUCCUUAUCUUCUCAGAACUUGGGCCCAGGUCACUUAGGUGUGUCAAUCACUUAGGAGCUAGUAUGACGUUUAUCAGCCCUAAAUUUACAGCCAUCUCCCUGCCCUUCAAGGCCGAAGACUGCCAGACGAGAGCAGGCCGCUUUCAGGGUUUGCAGGGCCGUUCAGCGGUGUUCACGGCGCUCCCCUCCAGACCCCUUGGCGCGGCAUCCGGAAGCCUUCCGUCGCUGUCCCGAUCUUUCUCUGAACUUUAGACUUGCAUAUGGAAUAUAUAUUUAACAUCCACUUCGUUGUCCAAAGCAACCUUCCAGGCCUCUCCCCCACUGAACAAGGAAAGAAGUUUAUCCUUCCGCACCCGCCCCUUCAGCAGAGGACACCUGAGGCCCUCUUUGUCCUGGCUUCCUUACUCGUCGCAGCAAAACCUCGGCUGUGCAGCCCUCACCCAAGCCCAGGCACCUGCAGCCCCCACUGCCUGUUGCGGUGGAACCUGGAGGUCUCCUGCCCUCGCGGCCCCAGUCCUCUGCACAGUCAGCGAUCCGUUGGAAACCCAGGCUGGCCUUGAAUUGAAGCAAUCUUCCUGCCUCAGCUUGCAAAGCGCUGGGAUUACAGCUAUGUGUCAUCAUGCCUGGCGGCAGUCUUUGCAUUCUUGAUAAAAGAAUUCAGUGAAGAUACAGACAAGUGUUGUGAAAGAAAGGCAGAAUUUAUUGUAAAGUGAAGCAGUUCAUGGUGAAAGUACACCCCCAAGGGAAAGGGCAUCGAGGGCCCAGAUGGCAGUUGGGCUGAAUGAAAGUUUAAAUUUUAUUUCCAUAAUUUUGUUAGAAUAUUCUGCCUUUGCUGGUCUAUUCAAUUCUCAUUCGUCCUUUCAAAGGCUAGCUGGGUGUGGUGGUGCAUGCCUGUAAACGAAGCACCCGGGAGGCUGAGGCAGGAGGAUCACUGUGAGUUCAAGGCCAGCAUGGGCUACAUAAGGCCAGCCUGAACUAUAUAGUGAGCCCCUGUCCCCUCCCCCAAAAAAGAAAGAAAAGAAAAAGAAAUCAGUGG